CAGGAGUGUGGGCACAGGGUGUGCUCGUGAGGGGCUCUUCUGCCCCACUUGAGGCGUCACCCCCAUCUGCAGGCCUGUCUUCCUUCGGGAGCAUGGAUGGGCGAGGUCCCCGGUGCUUCCUAACAUGUAGGUGCCUUCUCUCCUCAGUCGUCACCCCUCCAAAAACAGUCCUGGAUGACCACACGCAGACCCUCUUUCAGGCGAACCUCUUCCCGGCCGCUCUGGUGCACUUCGGAGCCGAGGAGCCGGCAGGUGUCUACCUGGAGCCUGGCCUGCUGGAGCAUGCCAUCUCCCCAUCUGCGGCCGACGUGCUGGUGGCCAGGUAAGUGCCGGUGGGUCUGGGGGCACCUCCCGUGGCGGCACUCACCACUCUGUGUCUUCGCCUCCCCACAGGUACAUGUCCAGGGCCGCCGGGUCCCCUUCCCCAUUGCCAGCCCCUGACCCUGCACCUAAGUCUGAGCCAGCUGCUGAGGAGGGGGCGCUGGUCCCCCCUGAGCCCAUCCCAGGGACGGCCCAGCCCGUGAAGAGGAGCCUGGGCAAGGUGCCCAAGUGGCUGAAGCUGCCGGCCAGCAAGAGGUGAGAGCUGCCAGCCUGAGGUGCCCACUCCGCCAGCCACAGGACCACCUCCUCUGCCAGCAGGAAUAAAGACUUGUGCAUCCCU
This 661-nucleotide small RNA is filed under the name Pan troglodytes (chimpanzee). RNAcentral's name for it is "retained intron". Lineage: Eukaryota; Metazoa; Chordata; Mammalia; Primates; Hominidae. The record is from RNAcentral.